This 253-nucleotide ribosomal RNA is filed under the name uncultured bacterium. Its description in RNAcentral is "partial 16S ribosomal RNA". It matches the Rfam family "Bacterial small subunit ribosomal RNA", at positions 524 to 776 of the family's 1533-position model. The record is from RNAcentral.
UACGGAGGGUGCAAGCGUUAUCCGGAUUUACUGGGCUUAAAGGGCGCGUAGGCGGGCAGGUAAGUCCGUGGUGAAAUCUCUGAGCUUAACUCAGAAACUGCCAUGGAUACUAUUUGUCUUGAAUAUUGUGGAGGUAAGCGGAAUAUGUCAUGUAGCGGUGAAAUGCUUAGAUAUGACAUAGAACACCAAUUGCGAAGGCAGCUUACUGGGCAGUUAUUGACGCUGAGGCACGAAAGCGUGGGGAGCAAACAGG